ACUCCUACGGGAGGCAGCAGUGGGGAAUCUUGGACAAUGGGCGCAAGCCUGAUCCAGCCAUGCCGCGUGAGUGAUGAAGGCCUUAGGGUCGUAAAGCUCUUUCGCCAGGGAUGAUAAUGACAGUACCUGGUAAAGAAACCCCGGCUAACUCCGUGCCAGCAGCCGCGGUAAUACGGAGGGGUUAGCGUUGUUCGGAAUUACUGGGGCGUAAAGCGCGCGUAGGCGGGGUUGUUAAGUUAGAGGUGAAAUCCCGGGGCUCAACCCCGGAACUGCCUUUAAUACUGGCAACCUAGAGUUCGAGAGAGGUGAGUGGAAUUCCGAGUGUAGAGGUGAAAUUCGUAGAUAUUCGGAGGAACACCAGUGGCGAAGGCGGCUCACUGGCUCGAUACUGACGCUGAGGUGCGAAAGUGUGGGGAGCAAACAGGAUUAGAUACCCUGGUAGGAUAGCG
This 449-nucleotide ribosomal RNA is filed under the name uncultured bacterium. RNAcentral's name for it is "bacterial SSU rRNA". It matches the Rfam family "Bacterial small subunit ribosomal RNA", at positions 335 to 799 of the family's 1533-position model. The record is from RNAcentral.